RNAcentral lists this ribosomal RNA (253 nucleotides) under uncultured bacterium. RNAcentral's name for it is "partial 16S ribosomal RNA". It matches the Rfam family "Bacterial small subunit ribosomal RNA", at positions 524 to 776 of the family's 1533-position model. The record is from RNAcentral.
UACAGAGGGGGCUAGCGUUGUUCGGAAUUACUGGGCGUAAAGGGCGCGUAGGUGGCCUGUUAAGUCGAACGUGAAAUCCCCGGGCUCAACCCGGGAACUGCGUCCGAGACUGGCAGGCUCGAAUCCGGGAGAGGGAUGUGGAAUUCCAGGUGUAGCGGUGAGAUGCGUAGAUAUCUGGAGGAACACCGGUGGCGAAGGCGGCAUCCUGGACCGGUAUUGACGCUGAGGCGCGAAAGCCAGGGGAGCAAACGGG